RNAcentral lists this ribosomal RNA (468 nucleotides) under uncultured bacterium. RNAcentral's name for it is "partial 16S ribosomal RNA". It matches the Rfam family "Bacterial small subunit ribosomal RNA", at positions 28 to 507 of the family's 1533-position model. The record is from RNAcentral.
GACGAACGCUGGCGGCGUGCUUAACACAUGCCAGUCGAACGGAAAGGCCCUGCUUUUGUGGGGUGCUCGAGUGGCGAACGGGUGAGUAACACGUGAGUAACCUGCCCUUGACUUUGGGAUAACUUCAGGAAACUGGGGCUAAUACCGGAUAGGAGCUCCUGCUGCAUGGUGGGGGUUGGAAAGUUUCGGCGGUUGGGGAUGGACUCGCGGCUUAUCAGCUUGUUGGUGGGGUAGUGGCUUACCACGGCUUUGACGGGUAGCCGGCCUGAGAGGGUGACCGGCCACAUUGGGAGUGAGAUACGGCCCAGACUCCUACGGGAGGCAGCAGUGGGGAAUAUUGCACAAUGGGCGGAAGCCGGAUGCAGCAACGCCGCGUGCGGGAUGACGGCCUUCGGGUUGGAAACCGCUUUCGCCUGUGACGAAGCGUGAGUGACGGUAAUGGGUAAAGAAGCACGGGCUAACUACGUG